This 253-nucleotide ribosomal RNA is filed under the name uncultured bacterium. RNAcentral's name for it is "partial 16S ribosomal RNA". It matches the Rfam family "Bacterial small subunit ribosomal RNA", at positions 524 to 776 of the family's 1533-position model. The record is from RNAcentral.
UACGUGCGGCCCAAACGUUAUUCGGAUUUACUGGGCUUAAAGAGUUCGUAGGCGGCGCGGUAAGUCGGGUGUGAAAUCUCGGAGCUUAACUCCGAAACUGCAUUCGAUACUGCCGUGCUUGAGGACUGGAGAGGAGACUGGAAUUUACGGUGUAGCGGUGAAAUGCGUAGAUAUCGUAAGGAAGACCAGUGGCGAAGGCGGGUCUCUGGACAGUUCCUGACGCUGAGGCACGAAGGCCAGGGGAGCAAACGGG